This is a long non-coding RNA of Carassius auratus (goldfish), 542 nucleotides long. RefSeq lists it as uncharacterized. The record is from RefSeq and is a predicted model, not a curated record. NCBI's taxonomy places the organism in Eukaryota, Metazoa, Chordata, Actinopteri, Cypriniformes, Cyprinidae. The transcript is spliced from 3 exons.
CUUUUCACAAGGCGGACAGCUGCUUGUUGCUUUUGUGCUAGAUUCUCUGUCGUGGGGUAUAAGAAGAGCGAGGAGCGAUGCUGAUAGAUGAGCUCCCUUGAGGUUGACUUUAAACCUCAUGUUUGAUGUGCUGGUUAUCAUGAGAGAUCAUAAAGACGGGAAAGUGAAGAAGAAAGAAGGUUAAGAAGAGCUCAAUGCUACUUCUGCAGCCCAGCCUACAGGCUCACAGCUGGGAGGCACUUCUGCUCUGCCCUGGGCCUUUCUUGGAGGAGUCAGUGGUGCGUUCACAUAGACACACAAACACACACACACACACACACACACACACACACACACACACACACACACACACACACAUUCCCUGCACUGAAAGUCAGGAAGAGUAUAGAAGAAAAGUGGUUUGAGCUUUAAUGCAAAGUAUGCUGAUAGCAAUAUUCAGCAAGAGCUAAUUAGGCCUCAAAAAAUAAUAAUAAUCACAAAAGUCACUAGUUAAAAUCUUAGUUUGUAGCUGACCAUUCAAAAGGUAAAUGAGUAGCUCCACU